This 71-nucleotide small nuclear RNA is filed under the name Sinocyclocheilus grahami. The record is from RNAcentral. Lineage: Eukaryota; Metazoa; Chordata; Actinopteri; Cypriniformes; Cyprinidae.
GUGCUUGCUUCGGCAGCACAUAUAUACUAAAAUAAGAACGAUACAGGUUAGCAUGGCCCCUGCACAAAGGA